This 74-nucleotide transfer RNA is filed under the name Francisella halioticida. RNAcentral's name for it is "tRNA-Gly". It matches the Rfam family "tRNA". Rfam says of the family: Transfer RNA (tRNA) molecules are approximately 80 nucleotides in length. The record is from RNAcentral. Lineage: Bacteria; Pseudomonadati; Pseudomonadota; Gammaproteobacteria; Thiotrichales; Francisellaceae.
UGCGGAAAUAGCUCAAUGGUAGAGCACAACCUUGCCAAGGUUGGGGUCACGAGCUCGAGCCUUGUUUCCCACCC